CACUCACUCUCCUAUUUAUCAAAUAAUAGGGCUGGGAAUGGGGAACUUGUAGUUGUGGACUCCAAUGAUCAAACUAAGCUUAAACAUGAGGAUCAGAAGACUCUUCGUAGACUGGCUCAGAAUUGUGAGGCUGCUAGGAAGAGUCGAUUGAGGAAGAAGGCAUAUGUUCAGCAA
Non-coding RNA from Arachis ipaensis, 174 nucleotides. The record is from RefSeq and is a predicted model, not a curated record. Lineage: Eukaryota; Viridiplantae; Streptophyta; Magnoliopsida; Fabales; Fabaceae.